Molecule: transfer RNA, 68 nt
Filed under: Bario sanctaefilomenae (redeye tetra)
Lineage: Eukaryota; Metazoa; Chordata; Actinopteri; Characiformes; Acestrorhamphidae
Description: Moenkhausia sanctaefilomenae (redeye tetra) tRNA-Phe
Rfam family: tRNA
About the family: Transfer RNA (tRNA) molecules are approximately 80 nucleotides in length. Their secondary structure includes four short double-helical elements and three loops (D, anti-codon, and T loops).
Source: RNAcentral
GCUAACGUAGCUUAACUAAAGCACAACACUGAAGAUGUUGAGAUAAACCCUAGAAAGUUUCGUGAGCA